RNAcentral lists this unclassified non-coding RNA (305 nucleotides) under Hevea brasiliensis (rubber tree). The record is from RNAcentral. Lineage: Eukaryota; Viridiplantae; Streptophyta; Magnoliopsida; Malpighiales; Euphorbiaceae.
AUUCUAUUCCCUUUUCCUUUCCUAUCCUCUCUUAUAUAGUUAUACCCCAUCCACAUAAAGUGUAAAUGUAUUAAACAAUUUCAUUUGUUAUAAAUGUAGCUCAUAAUUUCAAUUAACAAGCAUUACAUAACAAAUCCAAUGUAAUUUCUCUUUAUCCUCUCUCUUCUAACCUCAUUAACAUUUAUAAAGAAGGGACAAAAAAAUUUGCAACUAUAACGACCUUUAUUACUACAAUAACAAGUAAAGAUUGCUAGAAGAAAUAUUGUAACUCGAACAAAGUAGUAAGAGUUCAAAGGAGUAAAGCA